UUAACCGAAUAGGGGAGCCGGAGGGAAACCGAGUCUUAAUUGGGCGUUAAGUUGCAGGGUAUAGACCCGAAACCCGGUGAUCUAGCCAUGGGCAGGUUGAAGGUUGGGUAACACUAACUGGAGGACCGAACCGACUAAUGUUGAAAAAUUAGCGGAUGACCUGUGGCUGGGGGUGAAAGGCCAAUCAAACCGGGAGAUAGCUGGUUCUCCCCGAAAGCUAUUUAGGUAGCGCCUCGUGAAUUCAUCUCCGGGGGUAGAGCACUGUUUCGGCUAGGGGGCCAUCCCGGCUUACCAACCCGAUGCAAACUGCGAAUACCGGAGAAUGUUAUCACGGGAGACACACGGCGGGUGCUAACGUCCGUCGUGAAGAGGGAAACAACCCAGACCGCCAGCUAAGGUCCCAAAGUCAUGGUUAAGUGGGAAACGAUGUGGGAAGGCCCAGACAGCCAGGAUGUUGGCUUAGAAGCAGCCAUCAUUUAAAGAAAGCGUAAUAGCUCACUGGUCGAGUCGGCCUGCGCGGAAGAUGUAACGGGGCUAAACCAUGCACCGAAGCUGCGGCAGCGACGCUGAUGCGUUGUUGGGUAGGGGAGCGUUCUGUAAGCCUGCGAAGGUGGCCUGUGAGGGUUGCUGGAGGUAUCAGAAGUGCGAAUGCUGACAUAAGUAACGAUAAAGCGGGUGAAAAGCCCGCUCGCCGGAAGACCAAGGGUUCCUGUCCAACGUUAAUCGGGGCAGGGUGAGUCGACCCCUAAGGCGAGGCCGAAAGGCGUAGUCGAUGGGAAACGGGUUAAUAUUCCCGUACUUGGUGUUACUGCGAAGGGGGGACGGAGAAGGCUAUGUUGGCCGGGCGACGGUU
Molecule: ribosomal RNA, 853 nt
Filed under: Salmonella enterica
Lineage: Bacteria; Pseudomonadati; Pseudomonadota; Gammaproteobacteria; Enterobacterales; Enterobacteriaceae
Also listed under: 1 other name
Description: partial 23S ribosomal RNA
Rfam family: Bacterial large subunit ribosomal RNA
Source: RNAcentral